AACGAACGCUGGCGGCAUGCCUAACACAUGCAAGUCGAACGAGACCUUCGGGACUAGUGGCGCACGGGUGCGUAACGCGUGGGAACCUGCCCUUAGGUUCGGACUAACUCCCCGCAAGGGGUGCUAAUACCGGAUAAUGUCUUCGGACCAAAGAUUUAUCGCCUUUGGAUGGGCCUGCGUUGGAUUAGCUAGUUGGUAGGGUAAAAGCCUACCAAGGCGACAAGCCAUAGCUGGUCUGAGAGGAUGAUCAGCCACACUGGGACUGAGACACGGCCCAGACUCCUACGGGAGGCAGCAGUGGGGAAUAUGGGACAAUGGGCGAAAGCCUGAUCCAGCAAUGCCGCGUGAGUGAUGAAGGCCUUAGGGUUGUAAAGCUCUGUUACCAGGGAUGAUAAUGACGGUACCGGAAGAAUAAGCUCCGGCUAACUCCGUG
RNAcentral lists this ribosomal RNA (433 nucleotides) under uncultured bacterium. RNAcentral describes it as "partial 16S ribosomal RNA". It matches the Rfam family "Bacterial small subunit ribosomal RNA", at positions 29 to 507 of the family's 1533-position model. The record is from RNAcentral.